AAUUACACUCUCUCUUUAAACUCUGAUGUCCUCUUUCUUUCUAAACUCUCUUUCCAAAGCCUCUGAUAUGUAUAACUCCAAGGAUAUUCUGGAGGAUUCCAAUAAUCGAAGGGUGGUGCUCGCCCUGAAUGAAGCCUUAAACGCUCAAGACGUCAAAAUUGUCCACAAGCUUCUCACCACUGACCUUGAAUGGUGGUUCCAUCGUCCAUCGUCCUACUAGUAUAUGGUGUGCUUGAUCACUGGCACUACCUCGCCGAAAAACUGCUUGGAAUUUGCUCCCCUCUCUAUCGCCAAUUUCGGAUCAACGAUCUUUGUCGAGGGCUGCAAUCACAUCUAUUUAAUCUCUUGGAUCCACGUCUGGACCGUCGCUGAUGGGAUAAUCACCCAAGUCAGUGAGCUAUGAAUAACUCACCGGCGAUGAGCAAAGAUGUGCUCAAUCGAUGGUGAACAAGGACGUCAGUGACGUGACGGCAGUGAGAUUUGAACGGCAAACAAAAAGGACGAAACGACUUACCGAUGCUUACCGGCGUGAGGUCUCGACGGUGAGCAAACAGCGAGGAAAGAAACGACGGCAGUGAUGGAGGACUGAUUUGCGGUCGGUGAGCAUAAUGGAUGUAGAAAGAGAGAGUGAGCCUGGUGACGCAAGACACCUGCGACGCUUUAAUCCGGUGAUGAAGCGAACUGAAACGGCGGCGGCGAUGCAUGAUCUCAACAGCGAUACCAACCAUCGAUAAGCAAGAACGCUGUCGUUGAACCAGUAGCGGCAAUAACUUGUUGCCGGUUCGAGAGAGAAACAGAAGAGAGAGAUGGAGAAGCACAGAGGUGAAGAGUUUGAUGCGUUGCUUUUCAAACCCUAUAUUUCUAAAGACUUUGAUCUUCUGUUCUCUUUGCUAGCCGUUACAUAACCAUAAUCGUUCAACAAGCAAAUAUCGGUACAAUAUUUUCAGAAGCAGGCAUCGCUGGUGAUGAUGGCAGAUUCUGAAUUGCAUGACAUUAAUGUGCACUACAAGUCCACUAUGAAAGGAAUUUAUAAUGUUGACCCUGAUAGGUACUGUUUUAUUGAUUUGAUGGAUGACGUUUUACAAGUGUCUUUAGAAAAUUUACCUGCACAAUUAGGAGUCUCAAUUAUCAUGCAUUGUGAUUUGUUUGGGAGUCAUGAGAAAAUGGUAGUGCAAAGUGAUGCUGAUAUGUUACAAAUGUUUAACUUGCAUACUAAUCCUUAUAAAAAAAUUUGUUCACGUUCAUGUUGAGUUAGAAACUGUUGAAAAUUUAAACAUGGUAUGUGAGAGGAAUGGUGCUGUGAGGGAUGGUGAAAGGGAUGGUUGUCCAAGGGGUGCUCAUGUAAGUGGUGGUGAAAAGGAUGGUGGUGAAAGGGGUGGCAGGGUAAGGGAUGGUGAUGAGGAUGAUGGAGAUUAUAUUUAUGGUUUCAGUUCGGAAGAUGAGGAAUAGGAAGAUGAAAAUGAAGGGUAUUCUAGUGAUAGUGGACUAGUAGAUGAAGGUACUAUGGGGGGAGUUCAAAUAAGUAGUGAUGAUGGUUUGUCAAAUUAUGGGUUAAGGGAUGAAUGUGGAUCAGAAUCAAGUAUUGAAAUAUUGGGUGAUACUGAUAAAAAAGAUAAGGCUAAGGGUAAAUCCUUUCAUCAAUGUUUGUUUGUGAUAGAAUUUCAUAGAGUUUCAGGACAAAAGAUUGAGCUAGUGAAAGGUCACCUAUUUGACAAUAUUAAGAAAUUUAGGGAAGUGUUGAGGGAUUAUGCAAUUCAAGAGUGUUUUAAAAUGGUUAGAAAAAAAAAUGAAAAAGCUAGAAUAAGAUGUCAUUGUGCUGCUACAAGUUGCCCAUGGAUGAUACGUGCAUCACAUCUCUUUGAUAAAAUCACCUAUCAGAUUAAAAAAAUAAACAAAGACCAUACUUACGUGAAUGAGAGCACUUCUAGGGAAGCAACAUCAACAUGGGUUGCUAUGAAGUUUGCAGAUAUGAUAAAAGAGAAUCCUGAGAUUAAAAUAGCAUCUUUGGGAGUUACAGUGAAAACACAAUAUGGAAUUGAACCUAGUAUAAUGCAGUUGUAUAGGGCAAAAAGGAAGGCACUAGAGGAAAUUGGGGGUAAUCAUGUUGAAGCUUACACAUUACUUCCAGCUUAUGCAAAUGAAAUUGAUAAAAAAAAAUCCAGGAAGCUUGGCUAAAAUUAAGAGGUUUAGGGCAAAUUUGUAUGCGAACCCAGUCUUUAGCAGAAUUUUCAUCUGUUUUGAGGCACUGGCCACUGGUUUGAAGAAAUGAUAUAGACUAUUUAUUGGUCUAGAUGGCUGCCAUUUGAAAGGACCCUAUGGUGAUGUUCUACUUGCAGCCACUGUACUAGAUGGCAACAAUGGCCUUUUCCCAGUGGCCUAUGGUGUUGUGGAAAGUAGGGCUGCAACUUGGGCGGGUUAACCCAGCCCAACCCAGAAAUUUUGAAAUUGGGGCUUAUAUUCACAAGUCGGGUUCAUGUUUGGGUUGGGUUUUGUCAAAACCUAGACAAAAUCGGGUUGGGCUGGGCUCAACCCGAACCCAACCCUAAACCCAUUUUUUUUUUCCCAUCAUUUCUCUCUCCUCUCUCUUUCUCUAUCUGCCGCCGUCCAUGGGCGAAGCUUGAGAGUUGAGAAGGGGGCCUUUUUUUUUUUUUUUUUCUCUCUCCUUUCUCUCUCCGCUUUCUUCUUUUUCUUUCUCUUUCUCUUUCUCUGUCUUCUUUUUCUUUCUCUUUCUCUUUCCCUGUCUUCUUUUUCUUUAUCUUUCUUUCUCUGCCGCCGUCCAUGGGCGAAGCUUGAACAAUCUGGGUUUUGAUUUUUUGAACAAAUCUGAAAUGAUAUGGCGAAGCUUGAACCAAUCUGGCGAAGCUUGAACAAACUGGACAGCGGGCGAUGGAAACUGAAAGAUCUGGGUUUUGAUUUUUUGAACAAUCUGAAAUGAUAUGCUGAUGUUUUGAUUUUUUGAAUAAUCUGAAAUGAUAUGCCGAUAUGGGUUUUGAACUUUUGAUUCUAGCACACAGAUAGAUAAAAUUGAAAUAUGUGGGUUUUGAACUUCUGAUUCUUGUAGAUUUUGUAACUUGCAGUUGGAGAGAGAGAGAGAGAGAGAGAAUGAAGCUGGAGGCGAUAGGGGGGCUGAAAUGAUUUGCCUUAAAAAUAUUUUGUUUUUUUAUUUAUAAUAAUAUAAUCAAAUAUAUAUAUAUAUAUAUAUAUAUAUAUAUAAUAAUAUUAUAUAUAUAUAUAAUAUAUAAUAUAAUAUAUAUAAAUUUAAAAAAAAAAAAAAUUAAAAAAAAAACCUCAACCCGUCAACCAAACCCAACCCGUCCGAAAAUAUUCGGUUCGGGUUAUGAUCAUAACUCAUGGUGAGUACAAUUCAGGUUGGCCCAACCCAACCCGCUUCGGGUUGAGGUUGGGUUGGGACUGGGCUGGGUUGGGCCAACCCAAGUUGCAGCCCUAGUGGAAAGUUGGGGUUUUUUUCUAACACAUCUACAGAUUAUGAUUGGCAAAGAUUUUGAGGACAGCCCAUGGACUUUCAUGUCUGAUCAACAAAAGGGACUGGAUUCUGUAAUUUCUUAUAUCUUUCCUAAGGCCCAUCAUAGAUAUUGCUGCAGACAUUUAUUUAAUAACUUUAAAAAGAAGUACCCUGGUUUGUUGUUAAGGAAGUACUUUUGGGGGGCUGCAAGAGCUUACAACCAAGCUAACUUUGAUAUUGCCAUAAGACAUUUGAGGAAUCUUACAGAAGAAGGGAAUAAUAAUUUGAUGGAAUUGCCUGUAUCAUCAUGGUCUAGGCAUGGGUUUGAUGAAAAUGUGAAAAAUGAUCAUGUCAUAAACAAUUUAAAUGAAUCAUUUAACAAUUGGGUUGGUGCACAAAGAAAUAGUAUACUUCUGAAUAUGUUAGAAUGGAUUAGGAUAAAAUUGAUGGGUAGGAUUCAAAAGAGGUAUGAGGUGGCAUGCAGUUGGCAAAUAGUGGUGACUCCUAACAUUAGGAAGAAGUUGAACCAACUCAUAGAGGAAUCUAGACAAUAUAGUGUAAUAUUUGCUGGAGCAGAUGAAUAUGAAAUAAUGGAUGAAACUGGUACAACUGUGGUAAACCUUGGUGCUAGGACUUGUGUAUGUAGGGCAUGGCAAAUUUCUGGCCUCCCCUGCAAGCAUUUAGCUGCUGCAAUGGCUUACAAGAGAAUGAAUAUUGAGUUGUUUUGUGAUGAAAAAUUGAGUAAGGAUGCUUAUUUGGAAGCUCAUGGGGGAAUGAUACAUCCCAUAGUUAACUUAAAACUAUGACCACCUACUCAUGGUGAUCCACUUUAUCCUCCUCCACCUUAAAGAAGGCCUGGCAGGCCAAAGAAAAAUAGAAGAAGAGAUGCAAAUGAACCUGCAACAGGAACUAGUCAAGUGAGAAAGUCAAUGACUAUAAGAUGUAUGAUUUGCAAGGCUCUUGGACAUAACAAAAGAACAUGUCCAAAAAAUACAAAUAAAGUCCAGAAGGGAAGUUCUUCAAAAGCUGCAAAUGGAAGUGGUCUAGAGGGAAGUUCAAACACAUCUCAGAUAAUUUAAUUAUCUGGUUUAAUUUAAUUAAGUGUUUUAAUAAAAACUGAAUUAGUGCAUGCUAUUUAUUCUUAUAUUUUGUUUGUUUUUUAAUAUCAGAGAGUUUGGAGGGGGCUUUAUCACAGCCCUUGGGUACAAGCAGUUUUUAACCUCAACUUGGUAGAGGCACAACUCAAAUGGCAGUUAGAGGUGGGAGGGGUGGUAUAAGCAGUUCUCAACCCCAAGGUGCUACAUGGAGUUUUUGGUGCAAUCAAUUCUCAACCCCAACUUGGUGGAGGGACAACUCAAAUGUUAACUUUUUUAUUAUUAUUUUUUAUUUUUUUCAUUUACAGAUUUACUUUAUUGGCCAUACAAUUAUUUGAAAUUGUUAUGGUUGUUUGACUCAGGCAGUUAGAGGUGUGAUGGGUGGUAUAAGCAAUUCUCAACCCCAAGGUGCUACAUGGAGUUUGGGUGCAAGCAAUUCUCAGCCCCAACUUGGUAGAGGCGCAACUCAAAUGGCAGUUAGAGGUGGGAGGGGUGCGUCUAUGUCUCAGCCCCAACUUGGUAGUGGUACUUCUUCUGACAUGGCAAUGUGGUAACUGUCAUGCUGUUUCAAUCCUUCUGGCCUCCCCUGAAGAAUGUUUUUUGUGUUCUUAUUUGAAGCAUAUGUGGAUAACCUAUCACUUUUGAUAUUACUAUUUUGUUUUGAUGGCAUGUGGAAAAGUGUUUGCUCAUGGUUAGAGUUGCAUUAGGAGCAUGUGUGGAUAAGUUGUCACUUUUGGGAAACUUUGCUUGCUACUUGUUGACAAUUUUUGGGAUAUUGCUGGAUAGGUUUUUGGACAGGAUAUAAUUACAUACUUAUACUCAUGGGUCAUGGGUAUACUUUUGGUUGUUUUGUGUAUGUAAUGAAGUGGAGACAGUUGGAUUGAACUAUAUAUAAGCUUUUGGUUAUUUUUUGCA
Cornus florida is the source of this 5472-nucleotide RNA transcript. RefSeq lists it as uncharacterized. The transcript has 7 exons. The record is from RefSeq and is a predicted model, not a curated record. NCBI's taxonomy places the organism in Eukaryota, Viridiplantae, Streptophyta, Magnoliopsida, Cornales, Cornaceae.